RNAcentral lists this ribosomal RNA (1923 nucleotides) under human oral metagenome. RNAcentral's name for it is "bacterial LSU rRNA". It matches the Rfam family "Bacterial large subunit ribosomal RNA", at positions 3 to 1977 of the family's 2925-position model. RNAcentral also lists the same sequence under 1 other name. The record is from RNAcentral.
UCAAGUGAAUAAGUGCAUGUGGUGAAUGCCUUGGCGAUUACAGGCGAUGAAGGACGUUGUAGCCUGCGAAAAGCCGCGGGGAGCUGGCAAACAAGCUUUGAUCCGCGGAUGUCCGAAUGGGGAAACCCACCCGCAAGGGUAUCGCUGACUGAAUCCAUAGGUCAGCGAGGCGAACGUGGCGAACUGAAACAUCUAAGUAGCCACAGGAAAAGAAAUCAACCGAGAUUCCGAAAGUAGUGGCGAGCGAAAUCGGAGCAGCCUGUGCGUGAUAGUCGAUUGGCUAGUGGAACGGUAUGGAAAGGCCGGCCAUAGAGGGUGAUAGCCCCUUACACGAAAGCGAAUCGGUGGUACUGAGCGUACGACAAGUAGGGCGGGACACGUGUAAUCCUGUCUGAAGAUGGGGGGACCAUCCUCCAAGGCUAAAUACUCGUAAUCGACCGAUAGUGAACAAGUACUGUGAAGGAAAGGCGAAAAGAACCCCGGGAGGGGAGUGAAAUAGAUCCUGAAACCGCAUGCAUACAAACAGUCGGAGCCUCGCAAGGGGUGACGGCGUACCUUUUGUAUAAUGGGUCAGCGACUUACGUUCAGUGGCAAGCUUAACCAGAUAGGGGAGGCGCAGGGAAACCGAGUCCGAAUAGGGCGCCAUAGUCGCUGGGCGUAGACCCGAAACCAGGUGAUCUAUCCAUGGUCAGGAUGAAGGUUGGGUAACACCAGCUGGAGGUCCGAACCGACUAAUGUUGCAAAAUUAGCGGAUGAACUGUGGAUAGGGGUGAAAGGCUAAUCAAACCUGGAAAUAGCUGGUUCUCCCCGAAAACUAUUUAGGUAGUGCGUCAUGUAUUGCUCCAGGGGGUAGAGCACUGUAAUGGUUGUGGGGGCCAUCGCGGCUUACCACGCCAUAGCAAACUCCGAAUACCUGGAAGUAUGAGCAUGGCAGACAGUCGCCGGGUGCUAACGUCCGGCGGCAAGAGGGAAACAACCCAGACCUACAGCUAAGGUCCCAAAGUGUGGCUAAGUGGGAAACGAAGUGGGAAGGCUAAAACAGUCAGGAUGUUGGCUUAGAAGCAGCCAUCAUUUAAAGAAAGCGUAAUAGCUCACUGAUCGAGUCGUCCUGCGCGGAAGAUGUAACGGGGCUAAGCCAUGCACCGAAGCUUAGGCUGCACUCUCUGAGUGCGGGGUAGGGGAGCGUUCUGUAAGCCUGUGAAGGUGUCUCGUAAGGGAUGCUGGAGGUAUCAGAAGUGCGAAUGCUGACAUGAGUAGCGUUAAAGCGGGUGAAAAGCCCGCUCGCCGUAAGCGCAAGGUUUCCUACGCAACGUUCAUCGGCGUAGGGUGAGUCGGCCCCUAAGGUGAGGGCGAAAGCCAUAGCUGAUGGGAAGCUGGUUAAUAUUCCAGCACCGAUUUCUAGUGCGAUGGGGGGACGGAUCGUGGAAGGUUGUCCGGGUGUUGGAAGUCCCGGUUCCUGACCUGUAGGUGUCUGGUAGGUAAAUCCGCCAGGCGUAUGCCGAGGGGUUGGGACGAGCGAGCUUGCUCGCGAAGCAACUGGAAGUGGUUCCAAGAAAAGCCUCUAAGCUUCAGCUAGAAACGACCGUACCGCAAACCAACACUGGUGCGCGAGAUGAGUAUUCUCAGGCGCUUGAGAGAACUCGGGAGAAGGAACUCGGCAAAUUGACACCGUAACUUCGGAAGAAGGUGUGCCUUGGUAGCUUGAGUGUGAACAACACAAGGGCAAAGAGGUUGCAAAGAAUAGGUGGCUGCGACUGUUUAUUAAAAACACAGCACUCUGCAAACACGAAAGUGGACGUAUAGGGUGUGACGCCUGCCCGGUGCCGGAAGGUUAAGUGAUGGGGUGCAAGCUCUUGAUCGAAGCCCCGGUAAACGGCGGCCGUAACUAUAACGGUCCUAAGGUAGCGAAAUUCCUUGUCGGGU